Long non-coding RNA from Panicum virgatum (switchgrass), 1595 nucleotides. RefSeq lists it as uncharacterized. NCBI's taxonomy places the organism in Eukaryota, Viridiplantae, Streptophyta, Magnoliopsida, Poales, Poaceae. The transcript has 6 exons. The record is from RefSeq and is a predicted model, not a curated record.
GCCCGAAGCAAUUUUCUUCCACCAGCUCACGAUCCGCAUUCGGGCGCCGCUCCGUUCUUCCCAUCGCUCCCUGGCUCGCGAUCCGUUUCCUGAGGCCGCUUCGCUGAUCCGGGGACUAGCACCGCCCGCCGCCAGCUGCUGGCCAGCCCCUGCAUUCCCGACACCGCCGUUGCCCUCGCCGUCGACCAAAACAGCUGUGCCCCUGCCACCGCCGUUGCCCUCGAUGUUGAUCUCGCGUCUAACCUGGCAACAAGCUUCCCCCCACCCCCCGCCAGAUCCGGCACCUGACUCCCCGCGCCCAACCCCUCUCCCCCCAAGCCAGCGCUCGACAUCCCGCUUCUGCGCUUGAACCCCCUCCCCCCGCGCUGGAUUUUGCGUGUUCCAUGGAGGUCCCGAGCUCGUAUUCUGUCGGCUGUUUUCCAUCUUUCCAUCCCGAUCUCGCCUGGGUUUGGAGACAGAUUUGUGGCGUUGAAGAUCGGCGGCGCCAGAUUGUUCUUACGCGACUGCAGGUUUCUAUCUUUUUCCUUCGCUGUGGAUUUGACUGGAUAAAUGAGACAUGAAGCCCUCCUAUGCAAGGAUGAAUUCACGAAGAAGAUUAGUGCACAUGAUUCAUAUCAAUCCGAGGAGGGUGGUCUUUGAGAGCUGCCACGAGGUGUUUGUGGUUCCCCUCCAUGAUCAGGGAGGGCUGGUUGCAGGGAUGUCAAAGUCAGAAGAAUGGUGGAAAAUGUUGUACUAGACUUAGUAUUAGGUGCAACCCUGGAGAUGUGGUAUUGAGAAUUCAAUUGCUCAAUCCUGAUCAGUAUGUGGCCAUCGAGGCUCUCGGUUUUGGUCACCGGGAUGGAAGCAGUUAAGUUUAGGAAUCAACUGAUUCAGGACCUGCAGGAGGAGAUCCUGAAGGGACAGCCGGACAACCUUAGCUGCAUCCUUCUUCAUGAUUCUUUUCAACUGGUUUUUGUUCCCCACAAGUAGCUAUAACAUUGAUUUGAGCCAGAUCAAAAGGGCAAUGCAUCCUGAAACCUUCUGUGGAAUAGACUGCGCCCAAGCUGUAUUCCAUGAAUAGUUUGUAGUUCGUAGAUGGCAAAGAAUUGUCCCAAAUAAUUUAUGGCUGUACUUGUCUCCUGAUCAUAAGUUUUCUUUGGACCGAAUUAGGUGCAGGGAUAGAACCGAUACGUACAGCUUCCUACUAUUUAAGAGCUGGGCAAGAACUUGUUACGUUGCAGCUGACAGUGCACCGGAUGAAUUUUGCAAAUGGACAUGAAGUGCAUCAGAGAAGGUGACAAUCUAGUGGUGAAGGCUUGCUCAAGAAAUGGGCACAACCAAUAGCAUCUCAAACUCUGGCUAACAUAGGCAAAGAGCUAGUCUUUCACUUUGGUUGAUAAGAAUUCCGAUGGCUGAGUUCUGGGAAAUUGAUUUGCGAAGUCUAGUCAAGAGCAUCUAGGCGGGGAUGUAAAGUAUAUGGGCCUGGUACCCAUAUCCUGCUAGUAGCAUAGUGCACAUUUUUCCUUGUGACGAUUCCAGUAUUUGGUGCAACAAAUAUUCGCUGUCUGAUCAUAUUUGCCAACUUUUCCUGCAGCAUUUAUUUCACUAUUUACUGA